AGCAGCCGCGGUAAUUCCAGCUCCAAUAGCGUAUAUUAAAGUUGUUGCAGUUAAAAAGCUCGUAGUUGAAUUUCGGGGUUUAUCCGUUGGUCGGGCUUUUUGGUCUGUACUGGCGUGAUGGAUUCCUACCUUCUGAAUAACCGGCAUGCCAUUAAUUUGGUGCGCCGGGGAAGCAGGACUGUUACCUUGAAAAAAUUAGAGUGCUUAAAGCAGGCUUAUGCCUGAAUACAUUAGCAUGGAAUAAUGAAAUAGGAUGGCAUGGUUCUAUUUUGUUGGUUUCUAGGAUCACCGUAAUGAUUAAUAGGGAUAGUUGGGGGCAUUAGUAUUCAAUUGUCAGAGGUGAAAUUCUUGGAUUUAUUGAAGACUAACUUCUGCGAAAGCAUUUGCCAAGGAUGUUUUCAUUAAUCAAGAACGAAAGUUAGGGGAUCGAAGACGAUCAGAUACCGUCGUAGUCUUGACCAUAAACUAUGCCGACUAGGGAUCGGACGAUGUUAAUUUUUUAAUGACUCGUUCGGCGCCU
Molecule: ribosomal RNA, 520 nt
Filed under: uncultured Acaulospora
Lineage: Eukaryota; Fungi; Glomeromycota; Glomeromycetes; Diversisporales; Acaulosporaceae
Description: SSU rRNA
Rfam family: Eukaryotic small subunit ribosomal RNA
Source: RNAcentral